RNAcentral lists this long non-coding RNA (817 nucleotides) under Olea europaea subsp. europaea. The record is from RNAcentral. Lineage: Eukaryota; Viridiplantae; Streptophyta; Magnoliopsida; Lamiales; Oleaceae.
CUCUAUUUCUCUUCAUCUUCCCAAAUCUCCGCAGUUUCAUCACAGGGCCAUGGCUUCUUUCACUGUAUCCCGUGUAACCUCGUCUCAGGUAAAUUCAUCUCAUUUCGUUAAUCCUUAUAUUAAAUAAUAUGGGCUUUACAUCUUUGCUUUCUUGGGCAGUUGUGCUCUAGCAAGAAUGGGAUGAACUCACCUUCACAGGAAACGCUCAUAAAAUGCGUUAGAAUCAGCAAUUUAGCUCAAAAGGAUAAUAGGAUGAGGGUGUCGUGCAUGCAAGUAUUCCUGCGGACGAUCGCGUGCCUGAUAUGAGAAAAAGGCAGCUCAUGAAUUUGCUCCUUUUGGGUGCUAUUUCACUUCCCAGUGCUGGCAUGUUGCUUCCUUAUGCUUCCUUCUUUGUCCCACCUGGGGAUUUUCUUUACGCCUUCCUAAUUUUUGUGAACAACGGGGGAAUAAUAUAUUCUAUAUGCUCCAAACUUAAAUUUAAAGUAUUAGCUACAAUUUCCAUUGCCUGUAUUCGAAAUGAGUAGCAAAACAGAUUAUGGGAUGAUGCAUAGAAGAAAAUUUUCAGUUGUAGCACUAGAAAGGAAAAAUGUAUAUAGAGAAAAUUUAUACGUGUUAAUAAUCUGAUGAUCGUCUAUUUGCGUCGAUACAAUAUUAGUCAAUUAAGUUCGCCCAUUUGUCUGACUCUUUCUCUUAUACUGUCACAAUUCACGUGCUCAAGUGUAUUUUGACAAGAAUGAUUGAAUUCAUUGGACAUAAAGCUUUUAUAGUCGGAAAUCGCUCUUGCCAUCUGUGAAGAUAUUUCUAGUGGAUGAAAAAC